This is a long non-coding RNA of Astatotilapia calliptera (eastern happy), 632 nucleotides long. The record is from Ensembl. NCBI's taxonomy places the organism in Eukaryota, Metazoa, Chordata, Actinopteri, Cichliformes, Cichlidae.
GCUGUUAAUCGAUGGCUUUCAAAAUCAGAGUCCGGGGUCCAUGGGCUUUCUAACACCCAAAAGAGAAAUGAAAUCAUUUCUUUCUUUUGUAAGCUGAAAGCUUGCACAUCUGAGGACGACUUUAAAGCCACAUCAGCCGAGUUCUGCCAGACAUUUAAGCAAUACCCUUUGGUGUGCCAGUAUUUUCAGAAGCACUGGGAAGGCAUUGGCCACAUGUGGUGUGACUACGGCCGUCGGUUCAGUCACGCUCGUUCUGAAACAAACAAUGUGAUUGAAAGAUUUUUCCACCGCCUGAAAUACCAGUUUUUAUCUGGCUACAAGAAUAGGCGUCUGGAUGAUCUGAUUGAAGUGCUCCUAGGGAAGGCCGACGACUACUUCUCAGUCAUAAAAACCCUGCAAGAUGUGGGCCGCAUGAAAAACAGGUUUGCUGACACCUUGUCUCAAGUUUCAGACUCUGCUUCAAGACUGAUGGAAAGUGGUUGGGCUCUUAAAAUUACAGUCAAGAACAGCCAUGGAGUUAAUGCAUAUCAAGUCCCAUCUGAGUCAAGAGAAGACAUGGUGUAUGAUGUCUGCCAUGUUGAGUCCUACUGCAACUGUACAUAUGGCUUACGAGGACUUCUUUGCAAGCAUCU